AAUAUAUAUGUAUAAUGUUCAAAUUUGCAGUCGGUUUGUAAAGUGAACGCCAAUUUUAAAGUUUAAUUACACAAAGUCGGAAUGUUUCCGGCGUGACCACCGGGUGUCAGUGUUGUUCUUCCCCAGAGAGAACUCGUCCCUUCCCCCACACAGAUGCGUCAGCUGAACUUCUGCUCUCACUCACUGCAACGAUACCUGAAGCGGGAGUUUACUAUUCACCUCACGAUUCAUGAACGGUUUUUCAUCGACUUAUCUUUGAUUUAUUUGAAGGAAAAGACCCUGAUGGAUAAAAGAUGGAUAUUUUUUUCCUGGAGAAGCUAAAACAAAGUAACUUUGAGGUUCUGAUACCAGCUUUUACAACGUUAUUUACAGAGUUCACCAGACUUCUCUGUGGUAUUUCCUGACCAUGCCGAAAAGCUAUUUGAAACUUGGGCAUUGCAUUUUCCAGACAGAAUCCUGCAACUUCCCAGCCAAGAACCAGGAGCAUCAACAAAUCACCUCCAGAACCCCAUGAUGAUAUUCCAACUCCUGUCUACAAAAGUGGGAAGAAAAUCUUAAGUCUAUGUUGGGACCAACAUGGUUGCAUUCUUCUGAGAGGCUGAUGUGACAAAACCAUUCCCAUUUGUCCUUGGAUUGGAA
This is a long non-coding RNA of Paramisgurnus dabryanus, 639 nucleotides long. RefSeq lists it as uncharacterized. The record is from RefSeq and is a predicted model, not a curated record. NCBI's taxonomy places the organism in Eukaryota, Metazoa, Chordata, Actinopteri, Cypriniformes, Cobitidae.